RNAcentral lists this long non-coding RNA (221 nucleotides) under Elaeis guineensis (African oil palm). RNAcentral describes it as "long non-coding RNA (EGUI_LNC050482)". Lineage: Eukaryota; Viridiplantae; Streptophyta; Magnoliopsida; Arecales; Arecaceae. The record is from RNAcentral.
AUAGAUAUCCACUCGAGAUCAAUCUGAAACAGCCCUCAUGGUGUUGAUCUUUCUUCUUCAAGAACAAUCACUCUACGAAUCUAAAUGAUGUUUGGAUCACGAUCAACUCUUUGAUCCUUUUCUUGAUUCUUUUUUUUUAUUUUUUUUUUAAUUUUCUUCUCUUAAUUUUGUAGCAAUCAAGCUCUAAAAAUUAGUAACCAAGAGGUGCUACUCAAGCUUCC